ACCCGCUGAACUUAAGCAUAUCAAUAAGCGGAGGAAAAGAAACCAACAGGGAUUGCCCUAGUAACGGCGAGUGAAGCGGCAACAGCCCAAAUUUGAAAUCUGGCGUCUUUGGCGUCCGAGUUGUAAUUUGCAGAGGGCGCUUUGGCAUUGGCAGCGGUCCAAGUUCCUUGGAACAGGACGUCACAGAGGGUGAGAAUCCCGUACGUGGUCGCUAGCCUUUACCGUGUAAAGCCCCUUCGACGAGUCGAGUUGUUUGGGAAUGCAGCUCUAAAUGGGAGGUAAAUUUCUUCUAAAGCUAAAUACUGGCCAGAGACCGAUAGCGCACAAGUAGAGUGAUCGAAAGAUGAAAAGCACUUUGGAAAGAGAGUUAAAAAGCACGUGAAAUUGUUGAAAGGGAAGCGCUUGCAGCCAGACUUGCCUGUAGUUGCUCAUCCGGGUUUUUACCCGGUGCACUCUUCUAUAGGCAGGCCAGCAUCAGUUUGGGCGGUUGGAUAAAGGUCUCUGUCAUGUACCUCUCUUCGGGGAGAACUUAUAGGGGAGACGACAUGCAACCAGCCCGGACUGAGGUCCGCGCAUCUGCUAGGAUGCUGGCGUAAUGGCUGU
RNAcentral lists this ribosomal RNA (603 nucleotides) under uncultured fungus. RNAcentral describes it as "eukaryotic LSU rRNA". It matches the Rfam family "Eukaryotic large subunit ribosomal RNA", at positions 23 to 641 of the family's 3401-position model. The record is from RNAcentral. Lineage: Eukaryota; Fungi.